ACGGGAGGCAGCAGUGGGGGAUAUUGCACAAUGGGGGAAACCCUGAUGCAGCGACGCCGCGUGAAGGAAGACGAUCUCCGGAUUGUAAACUUCUAUCAGCAGGGAAGAAGAUGACGGUACCUGACUAAGAAGCCCCGGCUAACUACGUGCCAGCAGCCGCGGUAAUACGUAGGGGGCAAGCGUUAUCCGGAUUUACUGGGUGUAAAGGGAGCGUAGACGGCAUAGCAAGUCUGAUGUGAAAACCCGGGGCGCAACCGCUGGAUUGCAUUGGAAACUGUUAAGCUUGAGUACUGGAGUGGUAAGCGGAAUUCCUAGUGUAGCGGUGAAAUGCGUAGAUAUUAGGAGGAACACCGGUGGCGAAGGCGGCUUACUGGACAGUAACUGACGUUGAGGCUCGAAAGCGUGGGGAGCAAACAGGAUUAGAUACCCUGGUA
This 434-nucleotide ribosomal RNA is filed under the name uncultured Blautia sp. Its description in RNAcentral is "partial 16S ribosomal RNA". It matches the Rfam family "Bacterial small subunit ribosomal RNA", at positions 341 to 792 of the family's 1533-position model. The record is from RNAcentral. Lineage: Bacteria; Bacillati; Bacillota; Clostridia; Lachnospirales; Lachnospiraceae.